Molecule: non-coding RNA, 29 nt
Filed under: Homo sapiens (human)
Lineage: Eukaryota; Metazoa; Chordata; Mammalia; Primates; Hominidae
Source: RNAcentral
UGUGAUACUAGUUUGAGCCAAGGGCAGCA